GAUGAACGCUGGCGGCGUGCUUAACACAUGCAAGUCGAACGGAAAGGCCCUGCUUUUGUGGGGUGCUCGAGUGGCGAACGGGUGAGUAACACGUGAGUAACCUGCCCUUGACUUUGGGAUAACUUCAGGAAACUGGGGCUAAUACCGUAUAGGAGCUCCUGCUGCAUGGUGGGGGUUGGAAAGUUUCGGCGGUUGGGGAUGGACUCGCGGCUUAUCAGCUUGUUGGUGGGGUAGUGGCUUACCAAGGCUUUGACGGGUAGCCGGCCUGAGAGGGUGAACGGCGACAUUGGGACUGAGAUACGGCCCAGACUCCUACGGGAGGCAGCAGUGGGGAAUAUUGCACAAUGGGCGGAAGCCUGAUGCAGCAACGCCGCGUGCGGGAUGACGGCCUUCGGGUUGUAAACCGCUUUCGCCUGUGACGAAGCGUGAGUGACGGUAAUGGGUAAAGAAGCACCGGCUAACUACGUG
RNAcentral lists this ribosomal RNA (468 nucleotides) under uncultured bacterium. Its description in RNAcentral is "partial 16S ribosomal RNA". It matches the Rfam family "Bacterial small subunit ribosomal RNA", at positions 28 to 507 of the family's 1533-position model. The record is from RNAcentral.